UGCUAAAGUGGAAUACUCUACUUGUGCA
Molecule: small RNA, 28 nt
Filed under: Bombyx mori (domestic silkworm)
Lineage: Eukaryota; Metazoa; Arthropoda; Insecta; Lepidoptera; Bombycidae
Description: ovarian small RNA-34054
Source: RNAcentral